This 253-nucleotide ribosomal RNA is filed under the name uncultured bacterium. RNAcentral's name for it is "partial 16S ribosomal RNA". It matches the Rfam family "Bacterial small subunit ribosomal RNA", at positions 524 to 776 of the family's 1533-position model. The record is from RNAcentral.
UACGUAGGGUGCAAGCGUUGUCCGGAAUUAUUGGGCGUAAAGAGCUCGUAGGCGGUCUGUCGCGUCGGAUGUGAAAAUCCAGGGCUCAACCCUGGACCUGCAUUCGAUACGGGCAGACUAGAGUUCGGCAGGGGAGACUGGAAUUCCUGGUGUAGCGGUGAAAUGCGCAGAUAUCAGGAGGAACACCGGUGGCGAAGGCGGGUCUCUGGGCCGAUACUGACGCUGAGGAGCGAAAGCUAGGGUAGCAAACGGG